RNAcentral lists this ribosomal RNA (500 nucleotides) under uncultured bacterium. RNAcentral describes it as "partial 16S ribosomal RNA". It matches the Rfam family "Bacterial small subunit ribosomal RNA", at positions 29 to 523 of the family's 1533-position model. The record is from RNAcentral.
AUUGAACGCUGGCGGCAUGCCUUACACAUGCAAGUCGAACGGCAGCACGGGAGCAAUCCUGGUGGCGAGUGGCGAACGGGUGAGUAAAGUAUUGGAACGUGCCCAGUCGUGGGGGAUAACGUAGCGAAAGUUACGCUAAUACCGCAUACGAUCUAUGGAUGAAAGCGGGGGAUCGCAAGACCUCGCGCGAUUGGAGCGGCCGAUAUCAGAUUAGGUAGGUGGUGGGGUAAAGGCUCACCAAGCCGCCGAUCUGUAGCUGGUCUGAGAGGACGACCAGCAACACGGGGACCGAGACACGGCCCAGACGCGUCCGGGUGGAAGCAGUGGGGAAUUUUGGACAAUGGGCGAAAGCCUGAUCCAGCCAUGCCGCGUGCAGGAUGAAGGCCUUCGGGUUGUAAACUGAUUUUGUACGGAACGAAAAGGUUUGGCCUAAUAAGCUGAGCUCAUGACGGUACCGUAAGAAUAAGCACCGGCUAACUACGUGCCAGCCGCCGCUGUAA